Molecule: ribosomal RNA, 443 nt
Filed under: uncultured bacterium
Lineage: Bacteria
Description: bacterial SSU rRNA
Rfam family: Bacterial small subunit ribosomal RNA
Source: RNAcentral
UCCUACGGGGGGCAGCAGUGGGGAAUAUUGCACAAUGGGGGAAACCCUGAUGCAGCAACGCCGCGUGAGCGAUGAAGGCCUUCGGGUUGUAAAGCUCUGUCUUUGAGGACGAUAAUGACGGUACUCAAGGAGGAAGCCACGGCUAACUACGUGCCAGCAGCCGCGGUAAUACGUAGGUGGCAAGCGUUGUCCGGAAUUAUUGGGCGUAAAGGAUGCGUAGGCGGUCUUUUAAGUGGGAUGUGAAAUACCCGGGCUUAACUCGGGAGUGGCAUUCCAAACUGGAAGACUAGAGUGCAGGAGAGGAAAGUGGAAUUCCCAGUGUAGCGGUGAAAUGCGUAGAGAUUGGGAGGAACACCAGUGGCGAAGGCGACUUUCUGGACUGUAACUGACGCUGAGGCAUGAAAGCGUGGGGAGCAAACAGGAUUAGAAACCCUAGUAGUCCC